GCUGUGUGUUGGUAAAACAACAACAAACAUGUCAAAUGUCUAAAAAGACCUGAGAGCAGUCAAGGAGUUUGGAAGCACCCAGAUCAACUUCCAUAUGGACAGGUGAGAAACACAGAUGUGAGAAGGUAAAUAUCUGACUUAAAACCUCCAUAGAACUAUAUGUUUAUGAUGAGCCACAUCCCUGAAAAGAGACUAUCAGUCUUGGGAGAGUCUAUGAUUCAGAGAAGUUCUCCUGUUCAUAAAGUUUAUGUGAUGGGAGUGUGUUUGAUGAGAGAGAGAGACCAUCAUUAUUGCUAGAAGACCCGCAAGUUGAGCCCAUAUGAACUAAUUAAA
This 333-nucleotide long non-coding RNA is filed under the name Sus scrofa (pig). Its description in RNAcentral is "lncRNA (ENSSSCG00070026142.1)". Lineage: Eukaryota; Metazoa; Chordata; Mammalia; Artiodactyla; Suidae. The record is from RNAcentral.